GUCAGUGUGCCCGAGCGGUCUAAGGGGGUAGACUCAAGUUCUACUGUGUUCCGCACUCGUGGGUUCAAAUCCCACCGCUGACA
Transfer RNA from Phytophthora infestans T30-4, 83 nucleotides. It matches the Rfam family "tRNA". From Rfam's summary of the family: Transfer RNA (tRNA) molecules are approximately 80 nucleotides in length. Their secondary structure includes four short double-helical elements and three loops (D, anti-codon, and T loops). NCBI's taxonomy places the organism in Eukaryota, Oomycota, Peronosporomycetes, Peronosporales, Peronosporaceae. The record is from Rfam.